RNAcentral lists this unclassified non-coding RNA (323 nucleotides) under uncultured Tomentellopsis. RNAcentral's name for it is "sequence contains ITS2". The stretch from base 1 to 52 matches the Rfam family "5.8S ribosomal RNA", at positions 103 to 154 of the family's 154-position model. The record is from RNAcentral. Lineage: Eukaryota; Fungi; Basidiomycota; Agaricomycetes; Thelephorales; Thelephoraceae.
AACGCACCUUGCGCUCCUUGGUAUUCCGAGGAGCAUGCCUGUUUGAGUGUCAUGAAAUUCUCAACUGCCCCCAGGCUUUGUGGCCUGCGGGUGAAGUUGGACUUGGAGGCACGCUGGCGCGCAUGAAUGGGCUUUGUGCCCUGUUGUGCUUGUCGGCUCCUCUUGAAUGCAUGAGCUUUCCAAUCCUUGGCAAAGUAUCGUCGAUGUGAUAAUUAUCUGCGUCGCCCGAGAAAGCCUAAAAGGGGAAAUCUUUGAUCACGUUGGGUUGACCCACGUCUGACAAAUUCGACCUCAAAUCAGGUAGGACUACCCGCUGAACUUAA